UACAGAAUUAAUAAAAAAAUUUUUUUCUUGUUAUAGGAACUUUAAGAUCUACUUGCUCAGCAAAUUUCAAAAAUGCA
Molecule: long non-coding RNA, 77 nt
Organism: Mustela erminea (ermine)
Lineage: Eukaryota; Metazoa; Chordata; Mammalia; Carnivora; Mustelidae
Exons: 3
Source: RefSeq, a predicted model, not a curated record